This 496-nucleotide ribosomal RNA is filed under the name uncultured bacterium. RNAcentral describes it as "bacterial SSU rRNA". It matches the Rfam family "Bacterial small subunit ribosomal RNA", at positions 27 to 507 of the family's 1533-position model. The record is from RNAcentral.
GGACGAACGCUGGCGGCGUGCUUAACACAUGGCAAGUGGAGCGACGAACCGGGGCUUGCCCCGGGGCAGAGCCGCGAACGGGUGAGUAACACGUGGGUAACCUGCCUCAAUGAUUGGGACAACCCGGGGAAACUCGGGCUAAUACCAAAUGUGUUCACUCCUUCUAAGGGGAGUGAGGAAAGGAAGCUUCGGCCUCCGCAUUGAGAUGGGGCCCGCGGCCCAUUAGCUUGUUGGUGAGGUAACGGCUCACCAAGGCUUCGAUGGGUAGCUGGUCUGAGAGGACGAUCAGCCACACUGGGACUGAGACACGGCCCAGACUCCUACGGGAGGCAGCAGUGGGGAAUCUUGCACAAUGCGCGAAAGCGUGAUGCAGCAACGCCGCGUGGGGGAAGACGGCCUUCGGGUUGUAAACCCCUUUCAGUUGGGACGAAGCUUCGUCGGUGAAUAGCCGGUUGGAGUGACGGUACCUUCAGAAGAAGCCCCGGCUAACUACGUG